This 83-nucleotide transfer RNA is filed under the name Schistocephalus solidus. It matches the Rfam family "tRNA". From Rfam's summary of the family: Transfer RNA (tRNA) molecules are approximately 80 nucleotides in length. Their secondary structure includes four short double-helical elements and three loops (D, anti-codon, and T loops). Further hydrogen bonds mediate the characteristic L-shaped molecular structure. tRNAs have two regions of fundamental functional importance: the anti-codon, which is responsible for specific mRNA codon recognition, and the 3' end, to which the tRNAs corresponding amino acid is attached (by aminoacyl-tRNA synthetases). tRNAs cope with the degeneracy of the genetic code in two manners: having more than one tRNA (with a specific anti-codon) for a particular amino acid; and 'wobble' base-pairing, i.e. permitting non-standard base-pairing at the 3rd anti-codon position. The record is from Rfam by way of RNAcentral. Lineage: Eukaryota; Metazoa; Platyhelminthes; Cestoda; Diphyllobothriidea; Diphyllobothriidae.
GGGCUCGUAGCUCAGUUGGCUAGAGCGUUGGCUGUACUUAAGCCUUCCCCUUACUGGCGUGGGUUCGAAUCCCACUCAGGUCU